UCAGUUGGUUUCACUGGUAAGUCGG
Molecule: non-coding RNA, 25 nt
Filed under: Cricetulus griseus (Chinese hamster)
Lineage: Eukaryota; Metazoa; Chordata; Mammalia; Rodentia; Cricetidae
Source: RNAcentral